GUCAAUUGAAUGAACUCCGCAACCUGGGAGGAAAUUUAAGAAUUGAAAAUCUAGGAUAUGGGAAAGAUGAGGUGCGGGAAUGUAAAGAUGCAAAUUUAAAGGAUAAACAGCAUCUUCAACAACUUCUAUUAGAGUGGGAUGCCUCCAAGUGGGAUGGAGAAACCGAAUGCCACAUCCAAAUCUUAAAAGUGUUGAAAUUGUGGUUUUAUAUGGGUGUGAUAAUUCCAAUUUGGGUCUCUUCUCUCACUAAUCUUGUUCAUUUUGAAUUAUAUGAUAAUAGGAUAUUGCAACACCUCCCACCGUUAAAUCAACUCCCUUUUCUCAAGUCUGUCACUCUUCAAUAUAUGAAUACAUAUGGAUAGAUGAAGACAGUGUUAGGAAUGUGUUGGGUGCUUCCUCUUCUUCUUCUUCUUCUUCUUCUUCAAAAACACCAUUCUUCCCAUCCUUAUCUUCUCUUGAAUUAACGGAAUGCCCAAAUCUGAAGGGAUGGUGGAGGAAUUCAAAUGAUAUUGUUUCCAUAUUUGAAAGAAAGCCUGAUAUUGAGGAGGUGUAGCUGGAAGGGAUUGGAGCAGAUAAUGAAAAUGAAAAUGGGAGCGGCAACCACAUCAACCUACUUUCCUCUCUCUCAAUUACAGGUUUUGGAAUUAGAGAAGAUUAACGAUUUUGAAUCUCUUCCAGUGAAGGGGCUACAGAACCUCAUUUCUCUACGGGAACUCAAUAUAAGAUGGUGCUAUGGACUGGGUUCUCUCCAUUGGAUAAGCAGCCUCACAUCACUACAAACCCUUGAAAUCUGGGGAUGUCCCAAUCUGACAUCACUUCCUCAAGAGAUUCACAAUCUCACCUCUUUAAAAGAGUUGCGAAUUUAUGAUUGUCCCCUUUUACGGCAAAGAUGCGAGAGGCAAAUAGGUGAAGAUUGGCCCAUCAUUGCCCAUGUCCCAAGCGUAAUUAUGGAUUGGCAGAACCAGCAAGAAGUAACGAUUUCUUCAGAAUCUGAGUCAGUUUGUGAAGAUGAGGACUUAACCUAGCAAAUAGCACCAUAGGAAUCAGCUUAUUUGACAGAAUCAUAGCAAAUUUGGUAGAAUUUUGAAGGGAGGAGCGUGAUCAGGCAACUAACAACGGAU
Quercus lobata is the source of this 1121-nucleotide RNA transcript. It is a transcript of the gene named disease resistance protein RGA2-like, with no coding region annotated. The record is from RefSeq and is a predicted model, not a curated record. NCBI's taxonomy places the organism in Eukaryota, Viridiplantae, Streptophyta, Magnoliopsida, Fagales, Fagaceae. The transcript has 3 exons.